Long non-coding RNA from Apis florea (little honeybee), 141 nucleotides. The record is from RefSeq and is a predicted model, not a curated record. Lineage: Eukaryota; Metazoa; Arthropoda; Insecta; Hymenoptera; Apidae.
UAAAAAUUUUUGGAGAAUCAGAGUAGAAGUAUUCCAUGAAUAUUUGUGCGAGUAUUCUCGACAAGCACAAUAAGUGGCACAAGACCGCUUUCUAUCUGCAUCCAGAUAAUGUCUCGUUGUGAAUCUUAAAGAUUCAUUUGA